This 401-nucleotide ribosomal RNA is filed under the name uncultured eukaryote. RNAcentral's name for it is "partial small subunit ribosomal RNA". It matches the Rfam family "Eukaryotic small subunit ribosomal RNA", at positions 30 to 432 of the family's 1831-position model. The record is from RNAcentral.
GCUUGUCUCAAAGAUUAAGCCAUGCAUGUCUAAGUAUAAACACCUUUAUACUGUGAAACUGCGUACAGCUCAUUAAAUCAGUAAUAAUUUAUUUGAUGGUGACUUACUACAUGGAUAACCGUAGUAACCUAGAGCUAAUACAUGCACAAAAUCCCGACUUCACGGAAGGGAUGUAUUUAUUAGAUACAAUCAAACGCACCAACAUAAAACCUUGGUGAUUCAUAAUAACUGUUCGGAUCGUAUGGCUUUUUGCCGACGACAGAUCAUUCAAAUUUCUGCCCUAUCAGCUUUCGACGGUACUGUAGUGGACUACCGUGGCAUUAACGGGUGACGGAGAAUUAGGGUUCGAUUCCGGAGAGGGAGCCUGAGAAAUGGCUACCACAUCCAAGGAAGGCAGCAGG